RNAcentral lists this ribosomal RNA (1393 nucleotides) under Staphylococcus aureus. RNAcentral's name for it is "bacterial LSU rRNA". It matches the Rfam family "Bacterial large subunit ribosomal RNA", at positions 1 to 1395 of the family's 2925-position model. Lineage: Bacteria; Bacillati; Bacillota; Bacilli; Caryophanales; Staphylococcaceae. The record is from RNAcentral.
AGAUUAAGUUAUUAAGGGCGCACGGUGGAUGCCUUGGCACUAGAAGCCGAUGAAGGACGUUACUAACGACGAUAUGCUUUGGGGAGCUGUAAGUAAGCUUUGAUCCAGAGAUUUCCGAAUGGGGAAACCCAGCAUGAGUUAUGUCAUGUUAUCGAUAUGUGAAUACAUAGCAUAUCAGAAGGCACACCCGGAGAACUGAAACAUCUUAGUACCCGGAGGAAGAGAAAGAAAAUUCGAUUCCCUUAGUAGCGGCGAGCGAAACGGGAAGAGCCCAAACCAACAAGCUUGCUUGUUGGGGUUGUAGGACACUCUAUACGGAGUUACAAAGGACGACAUUAGACGAAUCAUCUGGAAAGAUGAAUCAAAGAAGGUAAUAAUCCUGUAGUCGAAAAUGUUGUCUCUCUUGAGUGGAUCCUGAGUACGACGGAGCACGUGAAAUUCCGUCGGAAUCUGGGAGGACCAUCUCCUAAGGCUAAAUACUCUCUAGUGACCGAUAGUGAACCAGUACCGUGAGGGAAAGGUGAAAAGCACCCCGGAAGGGGAGUGAAAUAGAACCUGAAACCGUGUGCUUACAAGUAGUCAGAGCCCGUUAAUGGGUGAUGGCGUGCCUUUUGUAGAAUGAACCGGCGAGUUACGAUUUGAUGCAAGGUUAAGCAGUAAAUGUGGAGCCGUAGCGAAAGCGAGUCUGAAUAGGGCGUUUAGUAUUUGGUCGUAGACCCGAAACCAGGUGAUCUACCCUUGGUCAGGUUGAAGUUCAGGUAACACUGAAUGGAGGACCGAACCGACUUACGUUGAAAAGUGAGCGGAUGAACUGAGGGUAGCGGAGAAAUUCCAAUCGAACCUGGAGAUAGCUGGUUCUCUCCGAAAUAGCUUUAGGGCUAGCCUCAAGUGAUGAUUAUUGGAGGUAGAGCACUGUUUGGACGAGGGGCCCCUCUCGGGUUACCGAAUUCAGACAAACUCCGAAUGCCAAUUAAUUUAACUUGGGAGUCAGAACAUGGGUGAUAAGGUCCGUGUUCGAAAGGGAAACAGCCCAGACCACCAGCUAAGGUCCCAAAAUAUAUGUUAAGUGGAAAAGGAUGUGGCGUUGCCCAGACAACUAGGAUGUUGGCUUAGAAGCAGCCAUCAUUUAAAGAGUGCGUAAUAGCUCACUAGUCGAGUGACACUGCGCCGAAAAUGUACCGGGGCUAAACAUAUUACCGAAGCUGUGGAUUGUCCUUUGGACAAUGGUAGGAGAGCGUUCUAAGGGCGUUGAAGCAUGAUCGUAAGGACAUGUGGAGCGCUUAGAAGUGAGAAUGCCGGUGUGAGUAGCGAAAGACGGGUGAGAAUCCCGUCCACCGAUUGACUAAGGUUUCCAGAGGAAGGCUCGUCCGCUCUGGGUUAGUCGGGUCCUAAG